This 496-nucleotide ribosomal RNA is filed under the name uncultured bacterium. Its description in RNAcentral is "partial 16S ribosomal RNA". It matches the Rfam family "Bacterial small subunit ribosomal RNA", at positions 28 to 506 of the family's 1533-position model. The record is from RNAcentral.
GAUGAACGCUGGCGGCGUGCCUAAUACAUGCAAGUCGAGCGAACAGAUGAGGAGCUUGCUCCUCUGGCGUUAGCGGCGGACGGGUGAGUAACACGUGGAUAACCUACCUAUAAGACUGGGAUAACUUCGGGAAACCGGAGCUAAUACCGGAUAAUAUAUUGAACCGCAUGGUUCAAUAGUGAAAGACGGUUUUGCUGUCACUUAUAGAUGGAUCCGCGCCGCAUUAGCUAGUUGGUAAGGUAACGGCUUACCAAGGCAACGAUGCGUAGCCGACCUGAGAGGGUGAUCGGCCACACUGGAACUGAGACACGGUCCAGACUCCUACGGGAGGCAGCAGUAGGGAAUCUUCCGCAAUGGGCGAAAGCCUGACGGAGCAACGCCGCGUGAGUGAUGAAGGUCUUCGGAUCGUAAAACUCUGUUAUUGGGGAAGAACAAAUGUGUAAGUAACUAUGCAUGUCUGGACGGUACCUAAUCAGAAAACCACGGCUAACUACGU